AUGACUGGGUUUCAGCGUAUCUCUUCGGAGGCUCAACUACGUCAGUUCGUCGAUCUUUGGCUGCGUAUUCGUGACAUGCAUCUGUCUAAUGAAGAGGAUUCUAUUACCUGGCGGUGGACUCCAGAUUCUGUGUACUCAGCAAAAUCGGCUUACCUGCAACAGUUCGUUGGCACGUACACAUCAAUCAACCUCAAGAAGAUUUGGUCUGCCAAAGUGGAGCCUAAAUGCAAAUUUUUCAUGUGGUUGUGGCUGAACGAGAGGACCCUCACAAACGACAACCUGCACAAGCGCGGACUGCCAAACAACGGCGCAUGUAACCUUUGCGACCAAGACAUCGAGUCCCCCGCCCACCUCCUUCUGCACUGCAUCUUCGCGCGCAAGGUUUGGUUCCUAAUCGCUGAUUGGAUUGCCCAGCCUGCGCUUAUAAUACCUGUGGCAUCUGGCGACUCUCCAUCGACAUGGUGGCAUGACACGGUUUGCGGCCUGCCUCCUCACCAUCUCGCUGUGGCAAUCUACGGUUGCUGGAACAUAUGGAAGGAACGGAACCGAAGGGUCUUCGAUAAUGCAACCUGCAACGCUGACCAGGUGUUCUGCCUUCUCAAGCAGGAGGUGGCUAUUGCUAAUGCCCGCAUCACCUGGAGCGUCUUUGGCGAAAACGAGCCAGAACCCGAGCCAGAUUAG
RNAcentral lists this ribosomal RNA (681 nucleotides) under Triticum aestivum (bread wheat). RNAcentral's name for it is "partial small subunit ribosomal RNA". The record is from RNAcentral. Lineage: Eukaryota; Viridiplantae; Streptophyta; Magnoliopsida; Poales; Poaceae.